RNAcentral lists this ribosomal RNA (2478 nucleotides) under Streptomyces sp. NRRL S-444. Its description in RNAcentral is "bacterial LSU rRNA". It matches the Rfam family "Bacterial large subunit ribosomal RNA", at positions 590 to 2925 of the family's 2925-position model. Lineage: Bacteria; Bacillati; Actinomycetota; Actinomycetes; Kitasatosporales; Streptomycetaceae. The record is from RNAcentral.
GUCGUGACUGCGUGCCUUUUGAAGAAUGAGCCUGCGAGUUAGCGGUGUGUAGCGAGGUUAACCCGUGUGGGGAAGCCGUAGCGAAAGCGAGUCCGAAUAGGGCGAUUGAGUUGCACGCUCUAGACCCGAAGCGGAGUGAUCUAGCCAUGGGCAGGUUGAAGCGGAGGUAAGACUUCGUGGAGGACCGAACCCACCAGGGUUGAAAACCUGGGGGAUGACCUGUGGUUAGGGGUGAAAGGCCAAUCAAACUCCGUGAUAGCUGGUUCUCCCCGAAAUGCAUUUAGGUGCAGCGUCGUGUGUUUCUUGCCGGAGGUAGAGCACUGGAUAGGCGAUGGGCCCUACCGGGUUACUGACCUUAGCCAAACUCCGAAUGCCGGUAAGUGAGAGCACGGCAGUGAGACUGUGGGGGAUAAGCUCCAUGGUCGAGAGGGAAACAGCCCAGAGCAUCGACUAAGGCCCCUAAGCGUACGCUAAGUGGGAAAGGAUGUGGAGUCGCAGAGACAACCAGGAGGUUGGCUUAGAAGCAGCCACCCUUGAAAGAGUGCGUAAUAGCUCACUGGUCAAGUGAUUCCGCGCCGACAAUGUAGCGGGGCUCAAGCGUACCGCCGAAGUCGUGUCAUUGCAGCAAUAGGGCCAACGCCUGCUGUGAUGGGUAGGGGAGCGUCGUGUGCCGGGUGAAGCAGCAGCGGAAGCUAGUUGUGGACGGUUCACGAGUGAGAAUGCAGGCAUGAGUAGCGAUACACACGUGAGAAACGUGUGCGCCGAUUGACUAAGGGUUCCUGGGUCAAGCUGAUCUGCCCAGGGUAAGUCGGGACCUAAGGCGAGGCCGACAGGCGUAGUCGAUGGACAACCGGUUGAUAUUCCGGUACCCGCUUUGAAACGCCCAAUAUCGAAUCAGGCGAUGCUAAGUCCGUGAAGCCGUUCCGGACCCUUCGGGGAAAGGAAAGUGGUGGAGCCGACGAACCAGACUUGUAGUAGGUAAGCGAUGGGGUGACGCAGGAAGGUAGUCCAGCCCGGGCGGUGGUUGUCCCGGGGUAAGGGUGUAGGCCGAGGGGUAGGCAAAUCCGUCCCUCAUAUAAGGCUGAGACCUGAUGCCGAGCCGAUUGUGGUGAAGUGGAUGAUCCUAUGCUGUCGAGAAAAGCCUCUAGCGAGUUUCAUGGCGGCCCGUACCCUAAACCGACUCAGGUGGUCAGGUAGAGAAUACCGAGGCGUUCGGGUGAACUAUGGUUAAGGAACUCGGCAAAAUGCCCCCGUAACUUCGGGAGAAGGGGGGCCAUCACUGGUGAUCGGACUUGCUCCGUGAGCUGGGGGUGGCCGCAGAGACCAGCGAGAAGCGACUGUUUACUAAAAACACAGGUCCGUGCGAAGCCGUAAGGCGAUGUAUACGGACUGACGCCUGCCCGGUGCUGGAACGUUAAGGGGACCGGUUAGUGCGCUUUCGGGCGUGCGAAGCUGAGAACUUAAGCGCCAGUAAACGGCGGUGGUAACUAUAACCAUCCUAAGGUAGCGAAAUUCCUUGUCGGGUAAGUUCCGACCUGCACGAAUGGCGUAACGACUUCUCGACUGUCUCAACCAUAGGCCCGGUGAAAUUGCACUACGAGUAAAGAUGCUCGUUUCGCGCAGCAGGACGGAAAGACCCCGGGACCUUUACUACAGUUUGAUAUUGGUGUUCGGUUCGGCUUGUGUAGGAUAGGUGGGAGACUUUGAAACCCCAACGCCAGUUGGGGUGGAGUCGCCGUUGAAAUACCACUCUGGUCGUGCUGGAUGUCUAACCUCGGUCCGUGAUCCGGAUCAGGGACAGUGUCUGAUGGGUAGUUUAACUGGGGCGGUUGCCUCCCAAAGGGUAACGGAGGCGCCCAAAGGUUCCCUCAGCCUGGUUGGCAAUCAGGUGUUGAGUGUAAGUGCACAAGGGAGCUUGACUGUGAGACCGACGGGUCGAGCAGGGACGAAAGUCGGGACUAGUGAUCCGGCGGUGGCUUGUGGAAGCGCCGUCGCUCAACGGAUAAAAGGUACCCCGGGGAUAACAGGCUGAUCUUCCCCAAGAGUCCAUAUCGACGGGAUGGUUUGGCACCUCGAUGUCGGCUCGUCGCAUCCUGGGGCUGGAGUCGGUCCCAAGGGUUGGGCUGUUCGCCCAUUAAAGCGGUACGCGAGCUGGGUUUAGAACGUCGUGAGACAGUUCGGUCCCUAUCCGCUGUGCGCGUAGGAAUAUUGAGAAGGGCUGUCCCUAGUACGAGAGGACCGGGACGGACGAACCUCUGGUGUGCCAGUUGUCCUGCCAAGGGCAUGGCUGGUUGGCUACGUUCGGGAGGGAUAACCGCUGAAAGCAUCUAAGCGGGAAGCCUGCUUCAAGAUGAGUAUUCCCACCUCCUUGAGAGGGUAAGGCUCCCAGUAGACGACUGGGUUGAUAGGCCAGAUGUGGAAGCCCGGUAACGGGUGGAGCUGACUGGUACUAAUAGGCCGAGGGCUUGUCCUCAGUUG